This 478-nucleotide ribosomal RNA is filed under the name uncultured bacterium. RNAcentral's name for it is "partial 16S ribosomal RNA". It matches the Rfam family "Bacterial small subunit ribosomal RNA", at positions 28 to 523 of the family's 1533-position model. The record is from RNAcentral.
GACGAACGCUGGCGGCGUGCUUAACACAUGCGAGUCGAACGGUAAGGCCCUUCGGGGUACACGAGUGGCGAACGGGUGAGUAACACGUGGGUGAUCUGCCCUGCACUUCGGGAUAAGCCUGGGAAACUGGGUCUAAUACCGGAUAGGACCACUGCCUGCAUGGGUGGUGGUGGAAAGCUUUUGCGGUGUGGGAUGGGCCCGCGGCCUAUCAGCUUGGUGGUGGGGUGAUGGCCGACCAAGGGGACGACGGGUAGCCGGCCUGAGAGGGUGACCGGCCCCACUGGGGCUGAGAUACGGACCAGACUCCUACGGGGGGCAGCAGUGGAGAAUAUUGCGCAAUGGGCGCAAGUCUGAUGCAGCGACGCCGCGUGAGGGAUGACGGCCUUCGGGUUGUAAACCUCUUUCAGCACCGACGAAGCGCAAGUGACGGUAGGUGCAGAAGAAGGACCGGCCAACUACGUGCCAGCCGCCGCCGUAA